GACGAACGCUGGCGGCGUGCUUAACACAUGCAAGUCGAACGGAAAGGCCCUGCUUUUGUGGGGUGCUCGAGUGGCGAACGGGUGAGUAACACGUGAGUAACCUGCCCAUGACUUUGGGAUAACUUCAGGAAACUGGGGCUAAUACCGGAUAGGAGCUCCUGCUGCAUGGUGGGGGUUGGAAAGUUUCGGCGGUUGGGGAUGGACUCGCGGCUUAUCAGCUUGUUGGUGGGGUAGUGGCUUACCAAGGCUUUGACGGGUAGCCGGCCUGAGAGGGUGACCGGGCACAUGGGGACUGAGAUACGGCCCAGACUCCUACGGGAGGCAGCAGUGGGGAAUAUUGCACAAUGGGCGGAAGCCUGAUGCAGCAACGCCGCGUGCGGGAUGACGGCCUUCGGGUUGUAAACCGCUUUCGCCUGUGACGAAGCGUGAGUGACGGUAAUGGGUAAAGAAGCACCGGCUAACUACGUG
Molecule: ribosomal RNA, 468 nt
Filed under: uncultured bacterium
Lineage: Bacteria
Description: partial 16S ribosomal RNA
Rfam family: Bacterial small subunit ribosomal RNA
Source: RNAcentral